This is a long non-coding RNA of Cynoglossus semilaevis (tongue sole), 2474 nucleotides long. RefSeq lists it as uncharacterized. Lineage: Eukaryota; Metazoa; Chordata; Actinopteri; Pleuronectiformes; Cynoglossidae. The transcript is spliced from 3 exons. The record is from RefSeq and is a predicted model, not a curated record.
AUGUGUGUGUAAUAUACAUAUGUAUUUAUAUGUAUGUGUGUGUAGUGCUUUUCGAGAUGCUGAACAAAAGUUCAACAAAAGUACUAUAAUACUCUCAGAGGACAGUGGUGAUUGAAAACCAAUUUAUUUUCCAAAAAGUAACUGCAGUAAAAACAAGACACACAGGCAGACUUUCCCAUCUCUACACAUUCAAACAUAUUCAUUUUUAUAUGAUUUGGGAAUACACUAUAUUUUAACCUUUUUUUUUUUUUGUAUAUAAAAUAUCCUGUGUCUCUGAACUCUUAAACAUCCACUACACACAAUCACUGCUUAGACAUGACUGGAUCCAUCCUUUGUAUCUUCCAUUGUAUUAUAAACAAGCCCAUGUUUUUGUAGUGUGGAUCAUCAUCAUCAUCAUCAUCAUCAUCAUCAUCAUCAAUGGGGACAUGUUUUCAUCUUACAAAGCCACAGGUAAGAUAAAAAUAAAUCCAUGUCUAACAGUCUUCGUUAUAAAUUUAAAAAAAAAAGCUUAAAGCUUAAACAAGUCCUUUUAAAGAGGGUGGGGUCAGUUGAUUCAAAGUGUGGUUCUGUGAGGCACUGAUGCAUUCAUAGUUCGUGCAGGGCCGUCGGAUCCAGCUGAGAUACUCAGCUGCUAAUGUAUGUGAUAAAACUAUGUUUAUCCCACAACAGGAAAUUGAUCUUCUAGUCUCCUCAAGCAAAUCCUGUGAAUCCGUGGUACGCAGGGGUUUCAAGUAGGACGAUAUUUUCACGGACCAGCCGUCAAAGUUUGUGUUGCGUACCUGUGAGAGCCUCUCUUUGUUCCAUCCGGAGCCGAUGAUGAAAGCCACCAGCUGACCUUCUUCAAACCAACCCAGUGAAAGCUCUGGACACUGGCUGAGGAAGUUCAGGACCUCGUCCAAGACACUGACGGAGUUUGUGGUUGGACUCGACUGACCCUGUGACACGUCUGGACCCAUUUUCCAAUCGAUGGACUUGCUUCGCUCAGGGCAGGAUUAGAACCGGCAAUCACUCUCAGACCUCAUCAGACUCACACUCUCUGGCCGUGACUGGUGGUUCAAAGAGGUGAACGUUUGCAGCAGGUGGCGCCGUUCUGUGUAAUUCUGCUGAUACCACAGAGAAGCCCUCAAACACGGGAGUAUUAACCUUCACCUCUAUUUGACCCGGUUGCUGGUUUGGUUCCGGAGAUGCUGGGUCAAUUUUUUUUUUUUUUUUUUCAAAUGAAAAUGAUUGUGUUUGAAACCUUCAUGGUCAGAAUGUAAAAAGAAAUCUGACCAAUAUGUCUAUAGUAUAAAACCAGACCUAUGUAUGUGUUUGUAAAGGCCAAGAAUGUAAACAGGAAGUGCUGGACUAGUUUACAAUGAGGCUACAUAAUUAUUUUUAAGGCUGCUGUCGCCUAAAUUAAUGAUGGAAUAAAAUAGUGAAUAGUUUCCUGUAUGACAGGAAAAUGUUAUUUAUAGUCUCUAAUUUCAUAUAGAGGAACAGCAAAAGAGACGAUGCAGAAAAGGGUAAACUAAGGCGGAAACCAGUCACGCUGCCCCUCAUGACGUAUCGAGGUUCGACUAAACGGUACCUUUUGAUUGUUGUCGAUCACCAAUGACGCACUUCCGGUUAAAUCGCUCCGCUUCACUUUGCAACCAGGUACGUCGGUGAACUUUUUAAAGAUAUAUAUAUAUAUACGAUCUGUGGUUUUGUCACUGCGAAAACACUGUUGAAACGCAUGUCGCAUCGCGUCUCGAUUCAGAGACGUUUACAUUUUGUAAUCUGCGGUUAAAUUUGAGAUUGUACGGAGGUUUGUUAGGUUUAAUGUGGCUGUAUUCUUUUCCCAUUUCUGCUGUCUGUAGCGUGGGGUUAAUCAGUGUGAUCACGUCCACCCGUGUCUCUGUGAUGUGUCACCUGGUGUCCUGGGUCCAUGAUGUUUUGAAAAGAGCAUGCCUGUAAUCGAUGCUUCAUUCCUGUAAGUUUUUUUCUCUUCUUUUUGCUCUGUUAAUAAACCUGAAGAGAGUCUCCCGAGUGCUGCCAUUGGGUCCAGUCUAUUUCCAACCAUAUCAACAUGUAACAGUACAGUGAUCCCUCUCCUAUCGCGGUAGUUGCGUUCCAAGACCCACUGAGAAUAAUGCGUAAAUACAUAUUGUGGGGGCACAUAGUAAAGAAAAAUAAAGGCUGUAACUGCAGACAAGGGGAGAUGCUACGAUGCAUGAGACAAUCAGCGUAAGGAAAGCUACCAGCUUUUAGUUUAUAUAUAUAUUACUGUUUAUUUUUUAAGGUUACAAAAUGUUUUUUAAUAACAAAAAUAAUGUACAUUAAAAAGUCCUUAAAAUACCACGAUAUAGCGAAAGGAGAACCGCGAUAUAGAGAGGAAACACUGUAUUGACGUAAUGUUUAUGUGAAAUGUCAACAAAUGUGAGUUUUUCCUUGUACCAGUGGGCUUAAUACCAGAGCUGUUGUGUUGUUGUAUUCAUAUAGAAUCACCUAAA